UCCUCCUGUACUUUUAAAGG
RNAcentral lists this transfer RNA (20 nucleotides) under Sphenomorphus melanopogon. Its description in RNAcentral is "partial tRNA-Leu". Lineage: Eukaryota; Metazoa; Chordata; Lepidosauria; Squamata; Scincidae. The record is from RNAcentral.